CUCAAUCCCGUCGAAAGGCUCCUCUCGCGCCCGGUCGCCUCCUCAGUAACGGCUCCCCGGCUGGCCCGGGUUCCCGUCUCCGUCCAUCGGCCUCUCCUCGGGACACCAGAGUCACUCGGAAUCGGAGGACACUUUGAAUGAGUCUGGAACGAAGCUGUGCCCAUGGACUUGGUCCAAUCCUGGAGCCUGACCCUUCACUUCUCGUUCCAUGUCAGACGUAAAACAACACCCCUCUUCCUUCUGUUGAACCAAUCUCCUUUGACCUGGACCCAUGGGACCCUCUGGACAUUGUGGCCUUGGGCUGGCACUCCCUCAGCAGUUUCCUUGACGCCUCCACUCCUCUGCUAAAGAAGACGUUGGCGCAGCACUCGAGAUCAGACCAACUGGCUGUCUGGGACUGGGGUGGAAGAAGUCUGUGCUGUCAGCUGACAUUCAGAACCUUUCAGGGGUGGUGGAGGGGAAUGGCUGAGUGGCCAACAUAUUUAAUUACAUCCCUGCUUGAGUCUUCUGCUCCAAAAGGACUGGGUUUUGCCUCCCCCCUCCCCCCGCCCCAUCAUUUCUGGCGCUCUCUUCCACUGGAGGGGAGGUGCCGAGGACGAGCAAUGUCCUGGGUCUGGAUGGGGAUUAGCAGGCAUCUGCAGCAGCAGUUUGCCAGACGACAGGAGGGUGAUGUUGGCACUGCAGACGUGAUGUUUGACUCUGAAAAUCCAGGUGAUUUAUUCCCCUGAUGCUUCACCUCUGGGCGGUGACCAAUCUGUCACAAAUGCAGCAGGACAGGGAACCUUGUGGAAAGUGAUUGCAAAGCAGACCUCUCCAAUGACCAGUUGCCAUGACCGUGCAGGGCUGGUGUAAGCCUGAUAGCUGACUGCAGAGAUUGCAAGAUGCUGAUUUGAUGUGGAAGUGAGUCCAUUGGCCAUCGUGCUGAGGGCGAGGACGAGGGUGGCAGUGUUUGGAAACUGGGACUGCAUCAGCACCAAUGUUGUCCUUACCAACUGCACCUGACUGCAUUAAGGUUCAGGGUACAUUUAUUGUCAAAGUAUGUAUGCAGUAUACAACUCAGAUUCAUCAUUAACACCACUAUUCUCCUGCAUCAGGACGUGGACGAAACAACCGGCCAACGACAGGCCAAAGGUAGUGGUGAGCACAGUCACAGAAUGAUGCCAUGCCAGGGACACUCUCACAUUCAGGCAAGGGCAGACAGAGAUUGACAGUGUUUCAUAGGUGCUUGGUGGCUCAAUGGGAGAGGGGUUAGAAAGUCCAAAGAAAAAUAAAUCUUCCAGAAUUCCCAUAUUGGCAGGAGGCUGUGGUGUAGAUCUAACCCAUGGGAUAUGGAGAUGGGAACUGUGCAUGGCACUCCCUCUGUGGGUCUGACCUUGUGAUAUGGAGACAGAAAAGUGCAUGGUGUUUCCGGUGUGGGUCUCAACUAGCCCUUUCCAGAUUUAACCCACUUUCAACAAUCCCACUGCCUAAUCCUCAGUACAUCUGGUUGAUAUUCCAGAUUGAUGAGUUUUUCCAUUUUCGCUGAAUGCCUAUGGAGGUUCAGAGAUUUCUGCCGAGUGGUGCCCCAAAGGGAAUGGUUUGCACAAUUGGAGCAGAAUCUUGCCUUGUGGAUUCUGUUGAAGACAGGCGAGGGCUGACAGCAAUUGGCAUGGCAUCAUGAUUCACUGUUUGCUGGUAUUCUAGAGUGUGUCUUAGGUCAGAAUGUUUAGAACAAGUUAUUCAAUUUCCCACACAUGCACUGUGCUCACAGUGUUCCUGAAGUACUGACUGGGGAUUAUGGAGGUGGGAACUGUGCAGGCGGACCCAGUCGGGCUGACCCAGAGGAUAUGGAAAUUGGAAGCACAGACAGUUCUGCCAGUGUGAGUCUGAAACAGCUCUUUCCAGACUUAAGCCAUGUUUGACAGUCCCACUGCCAAACCCUCAGUACCUGUAACUGAUGUUCCAGGGGCAUCCAGCAAGGAAGAAGGGCUUGUCUUGCUUCCUGUGAUAUAUGAUUCCUUGCCCGACUGUAUGUCUUGUGCAGAUGGGCAGCCACUCUUGCAACAGGACUGAGAACCCUGUGGAAAGACAUUUCAGAGCUCCGGAAAUAUUGCACUCUGCUCCUUUCCAGAUUUAAUCCAUGUCUGGCAGUCCCACUGUUUAAGAUCCAAUCAAAGUUUUCAAUCAGGAGACAAAGGCUGUCUGGGUUCCCACUGUAUGAGAUUCCUUGUCUUGCUGCUCAUCCAUCAGAGUUGUAGAUGGACUGUCACAGCUGCAACAUGACAUGUAACGCAGUGGAAAGAGAUUGUGAAUUUCCUGAAACUCUACUUUGUGCUGGGCUGUUGUCCUGGUGUGGUGUGACCCAAGGAAAUGAGGUCCAGAACCGUGACUGAUGUGGUCAGAAACAGAGAUUUGCCAUCAGUUGGACAGCUGGCAUUGUCCCAAGUCUCACAGCAGAAGUUAAAACAAAUAAUAUACAAAGGCAGUAUCAAGAGCAAUAAAGACAGAUUGGUUUUAAGAAGUUGUUGCCCAUUGAUUGAAGGAGGCUGACCUCGAGAGUGCAUGAUGGCUUUGAUCACAUGUACCUAAUACACAAACAAAACACCACAGUCUUAUCGGAGAGGACUGCAUGUCCGAUGUCCAGUUCCAGAGGGGGAGCGGGGCAGUGUGUUCGGUGUCUGCUCCCAGAGGGGGGAGAGGAUGAUGUGGCUGACAGCCAGUGUCGGGAGAGAGAGAGAGGAGGAUGCACCGACAUUGCCAUCAUUUACCGUUUACUUCUGCCCCUCAGCCCCUCACUGCAGGCCUAGCUGAAGAAUUAUACUGCAACACCCAUGUGUAUUCAUCCACCUCCCAGGGGAAUUUGCUGUAAACUCGCCUCACCCUCCCAGCCCUCUGACAUUCCCCUGUAAAACCCCACCCACUCCUCUCACUGGUUCUCUCAUCUUCCCUCUAUUAUCUGGCAGGCAGUUGCCAGUGUAACAAGAGAUGUGUUUGGUUCCUGUUGGAUACAGUAAUUUCUGAAGUAGGCUGCUCUUUGGCAAUGACUUAAAGGUGCAGACAGAGAGAGGCUGUGCUAUGAUCCUGUCUCUCUGGGCUCACUCCAGAAAAGUCAGUCUUGCACUUCACCUCAUUGCCUGAUGCCAGGGUAUGGCAGUUGUGUGACUCACAGGGGUAGAUGUCUUGGUGCGGGAGAGGAGGCUUGUUAGGGACAGGGAAGGAAGUGAAUGAGGGGACCCAACACCUCUCAACAUCCCCUCUUAAAAUAUGAGUUGGACCUGCCUUUUGCUGCCUGACAGCAUCCUGCAUUCCUCCUUAUCUUCUCCAGCCCUCCCGGUACAGGACAAGGCAUGUCAUUCUCUCUUCUCCCCACCUCUCUUCAAGUAGAAAAUAAAAAAUCCUGAUAACACACAUACUAGGCUCAAGACAGCUACUACAUUAUUAUAACACUUAUGGUAAGAUGGGGGACGUCACAAUUGUUGUGGCCCUUGCACCUUAUUGCAUGUUGAAAUAAUCAGUAUGGCUGGUAUGCAAAUCAUUGAGUUUCACUACAGUCUGUGGUUUAUGCUCUCUGGCUUAAGCUCUGCAGUCUGUGCAUUACAUGUAACAAUAGUAAACCAUUUUAUGUGGAAAUUGUGCAAGUAGAAGGCAGUUAAUAAGUUCAUCACAACAUCGUGGGCUGAGUAGCCUGUUCCUGCACUGAAGAGUGUUCUGUAAUUUGUUAUAUUUACUUGUGAAUGCUGCAUUUCUGAUGCUAUGUGCCUGUGAUGCUGAUGCAAGUAAUAAAUGGAUUCAACAA
This is a long non-coding RNA of Hypanus sabinus (Atlantic stingray), 3775 nucleotides long. RefSeq lists it as uncharacterized. Lineage: Eukaryota; Metazoa; Chordata; Chondrichthyes; Myliobatiformes; Dasyatidae. The transcript is spliced from 2 exons. The record is from RefSeq and is a predicted model, not a curated record.